Molecule: long non-coding RNA, 2330 nt
Organism: Anabas testudineus (climbing perch)
Lineage: Eukaryota; Metazoa; Chordata; Actinopteri; Anabantiformes; Anabantidae
Source: Ensembl
UCACACGUGCUUCAUGUAGUGCAGGGGUAUUCAACUAAAAUUUAAAGAGGUCCGGUUACGCAAUAUUUUUGGAAGCAAAGGUCCAGAAGAUUAUAAUGUUUAACUAUAUACUGUGAUAUAUUAUUAAGUAGCCUGCAUGUAAUCAAUACUUGACUGUCAAAUCAAAUUAAUUCAGUAGAAAUUUAUAUGUAACAUCAAACUGAGCAUGUGGCUCAAGAUCCUGGUGGACUGCUCAUACUGGGCUCUGAGACUAGCAACUCUCUGUGAUCACACUUCAGAUUUUAGUGGGCAUGUGUGUUCAAAACCUUUGUGUUUUGUCUCAUAAUGCAGUUUGACAUUGGCACUUUUAAUAAGAGCCGCAGUUUCUGAACAUAUCAAACACACUGGUUUAGUGCUCCCAGUGGUAAAAUGAACAGAAAGGAGUCUGUUUAUUGUGGAUUAAAAACUCUUUACUGUCCACUUUUCUCUUUUUGGACAUUUUUAUAUUUAUCUCUUCCUUUUUCAGUCUCACCGUCCUUUUAUCAACUUUCUCCUCUGUCGUCUGUAUCUCUCCUCUCUGUCGUCUGUAUCUCUUUCCUCUCUGUCUCUGUAUCUCUCCUCUCUGUCGUCUGUCUCUCUCCUCUCUGUCGUCUGUCUCUCUCUCUACUCUUUGUCUCUGUAUCUCUCCUCUCUGUCGUCUGUCUCUCUCUCUACUCUUUGUCUCUGUAUCUCUCCUCUCUGUCGUCUGUCUCUCUCCUCUCUGUCGCCUGUCCCUCUCCUCUCUGUCGUCUGUCUCUCUCCUCUCUGUCGUCUGUCCCUCUCCUCUCUGUCGUCUGUCUCUCUCCUCUCUGUCGUCUGUCUCUCUCCUCUCUGUCGUCUGUAUCUCUCCUCUCUGUCGUCUGUCCCUCUCCUCUCUGUCGUCUGUAUCUCUCCUCUCUGUCGUCUGUCUCUCUCCUCUCUGUCGUCUGUAUCUCUCCUCUCUGUCGUCUGUAUCUCUCUCCUCUCUGUCGUCUGUCUCUCUCCUCUCUGUCGUCUGUAUCUCUCCUCUCUGUCGUCUGUAUCUCUCUCCUCUCUGUCGUCUGUCCCUCUCCUCUCUGUCGUCUGUCUCUCUCCUCUCUGUCGUCUGUAUCUCUCUCCUCUCUGUCGUCUGUCCCUCUCCUCUCUGUCGUCUGUCUCUCUCCUCUCUGUCGUCUGUAUCUCUCUCCUCUCUGUCGUCUGUAUCUCUCUCCUCUCUGUCGUCUGUCUCUCUCCUCUCUGUCGUCUGUAUCUCUCCUCUCUGUCGUCUGUAUCUCUCUCCUCUCUGUCGUCUGUCCCUCUCCUCUCUGUCGUCUGUCCCUCUCCUCUCUGUCGUCUGUAUCUCUCCUCUCUGUCGUCUGUAUCUCUCCUCUCUGUCGUCUGUAUCUCUCCUCUCUGUCGUCUGUCCCUCUCCUCUCUGUCGUCUGUAUCUCUCCUCUCUGUCGUCUGUCCCUCUCCUCUCUGUCGUCUGUCUCUCUCCUCUCUGUCGUCUGUAUCUCUCUCCUCUCUGUCGUCUGUCCCUCUCCUCUCUGUCGUCUGUCUCUCUCCUCUCUGUCGUCUGUAUCUCUCCUCUCUGUCGUCUGUCUCUCUCCUCUCUGUCGUCUGUCCCUCUCCUCUCUGUCGUCUGUAUCUCUCCUCUCUGUCGUCUGUAUCUCUCCUCUCUGUCGUCUGUAUCUCUCUCCUCUCUGUCGUCUGUAUCUCUCUCCUCUCUGUCGUCUGUCUUUCUCCUCUCUGUCGUCUGUAUCUCUCCCUCUCUGUCGUCUGUCUUUCUCCUCUCUGUCGUCUGUAUCUCUCCUCUCUGUCGUCUGUCUUUCUCCUCUCUGUCGUCUGUAUCUCUCCCUCUCUGUCGUCUGUAUCUCUCCCUCUCUGUCGUCUGUCCCUCUCCUCUCUGUCGUCUGUCCCUCUCCUCUCUGUCGUCUGUCCCUCUCCUCUGUCUCUCUGUUAUCACCAUCUCUGUUUAUUAAUUCUUUCCAACCUCCAACUUUCUCUCAUCUACUGUUGAGUCUCUAAUUUUACUGCCUACGAUCCACAGAAUCGAUUGGCUAAGUGAAGUCACGUGGGAUGGCUUAACUCGCAUUCAAUUGGCCAAUGCGUUCUCGCGUCCACUUAAUAACUACCGUAACGAUCACAAUAGCUGCGGCGGUUAUAAUUAACGUGUCCCGCUAGAUUUGGAAUCAAACGUUCGGUUUGCUCUGUAGCUCCGGGUCCGUAUGGGACAGUUUCUGGGUCCGGAUCCGGACCGCGGUCCGCCUGUUAGUGACCCCUGAUGUAGUGGCUCACAUACUAACUGUAGUCUGCACCAUGAUCUAUGGAGUUAGUAGAAACUAAACGCUCCA